UACUCCUACGGGAGGCAGCAGUAGGGAAUCUUCGGCAAUGGACGGAAGUCUGACCGAGCAACGCCGCGUGAGUGAAGAAGGUUUUCGGAUCGUAAAGCUCUGUUGUAAGAGAAGAACGAGUGUGAGAGUGGAAAGUUCACACUGUGACGGUAUCUUACCAGAAAGGGACGGCUAACUACGUGCCAGCAGCCGCGGUAAUACGUAGGUCCCGAGCGUUGUCCGGAUUUAUUGGGCGUAAAGCGAGCGCAGGCGGUUAGAUAAGCCUGAAGUUAAAGGCUGUGGCUUAACCAUAGUACGCUUUGGAAACUGUUUAACUUGAGUGCAAGAGGGGAGAGUGGAAUUCCAUGUGUAGCGGUGAAAUGCGUAGAUAUAUGGAGGAACACCGGUGGCGAAAGCGGCUCUCUGGCUUGUAACUGACGCUGAGGCUCGAAAGCGUGGGGAGCAAACAGGAUUAGAUACCCUGGUAGUCCACGCCGUAAACGAUGAGUGCUAGGUGUUAGACCCUUUCCGGGGUUUAGUGCCGUAGCUAACGCAUUAAGCACUCCGCCUGGGGAGUACGACCGCAAGGUUGAAACUCAAAGGAAUUGACGGA
This 592-nucleotide ribosomal RNA is filed under the name uncultured bacterium. RNAcentral describes it as "bacterial SSU rRNA". It matches the Rfam family "Bacterial small subunit ribosomal RNA", at positions 334 to 917 of the family's 1533-position model. The record is from RNAcentral.